RNAcentral lists this ribosomal RNA (468 nucleotides) under uncultured bacterium. Its description in RNAcentral is "partial 16S ribosomal RNA". It matches the Rfam family "Bacterial small subunit ribosomal RNA", at positions 28 to 507 of the family's 1533-position model. The record is from RNAcentral.
GACGAACGCUGGCGGCGUGCUUAACACAUGCAAGUCGAACGGAAAGGCCCUGCUUUUGUGGGGUGCUCGAGUGGCGAACGGGUGAGUAACACGUGAGUAACCUGCCCUUGACUUUGGGAUAACUUCAGGAAACUGGGGCUAAUACCGGAUAGGAGCUCCUGCUGCAUGGUGGGGGUUGGAAAGUUUCGGCGGUUGGGGAUGGACUCGCGGCUUAUCAGCUUGUUGGUGGGGUAGUGGCUUACCAAGGCUUUGACGGGUAGCCGGCCUGAGAGGGUGACCGGCCACAUUGCGACUGAGAUACGGCCCAGACUCCUACGGGAGGAAGCAGUGGGGAAUAUUCCACAAUGGGCGGAAGCCUAAUGCAGCAACGCCGCGUGCGGGAUGACGGCCUUCGGGUUGUAAACCGCUUUCGCCUGUGACGAAGCGUGAGUGACGGUAAUGGGUAAAGAAGCACAGGCUAACUACGUG